Molecule: ribosomal RNA, 693 nt
Filed under: uncultured bacterium
Lineage: Bacteria
Description: bacterial SSU rRNA
Rfam family: Bacterial small subunit ribosomal RNA
Source: RNAcentral
ACGCUAGCUACAGGCUUAACACAUGCAAGUUGAGGGGCAGCAUGGUCUUAGCUUGCUAAGGCCGAUGGCGACCGGCGCACGGGUGAGUAACACGUAUCCAACCUGCCGUCUACUCUUGGACAGCCUUCUGAAAGGAAGAUUAAUACAAGAUGGCAUCAUGAGUCCGCAUGUUCACAUGAUUAAAGGUAUUCCGGUAGACGAUGGGGAUGCGUUCCAUUAGAUAGUAGGCGGGGUAACGGCCCACCUAGUCUUCGAUGGAUAGGGGUUCUGAGAGGAAGGUCCCCCACAUUGGAACUGAGACACGGUCCAAACUCCUACGGGAGGCAGCAGUGAGGAAUAUUGGUCAAUGGGCGAGAGCCUGAACCAGCCAAGUAGCGUGAAGGAUGACUGCCCUAUGGGUUGUAAACUUCUUUUAUAAAGGAAUAAAGUCGGGUAUGUAUACCCGUUUGCAUGUACUUUAUGAAUAAGGAUCAGCUAACUCCGUGCCAGCAGCCGCGGUAAUACGGAGGAUCCGAGCGUUAUCCGGAUUUAUUGGGUUUAAAGGGAGCGUAGAUGGAUGUUUAAGUCAGUUGUGAAAGUUUGCGGCUCAACCGUAAAAUUGCAGUUGAUACUGGAUAUCUUGAGUGCAGUUGAGGCAGGCGGAAUUCGUGGUGUAGCGGUGAAAUGCUUAGAUAUCACGAAGAACUCCGAUUG